This is a long non-coding RNA of Wyeomyia smithii (pitcher-plant mosquito), 1491 nucleotides long. RefSeq lists it as uncharacterized. The transcript is spliced from 4 exons. Lineage: Eukaryota; Metazoa; Arthropoda; Insecta; Diptera; Culicidae. The record is from RefSeq and is a predicted model, not a curated record.
AUUGCAAAAAAUAAAAGUCAAUACAUGACUGCUCGUAUUUUUGGUUUCCACAUAAACGCUAUUUGUUUCAAUUUGUUUUGCUGUAUAUAAUUGUGAAAAAAUGAAGUGCUGUUUGCUGUUCUGUUAAAAUCGAACAACACGAAAUUUCAAAAACAUAAGCUUUUUUUGAUUCCCCACCGAUAAAAAUCAUCGCCGAAAAUGACUUGAGUUUUGUGAGUUACCUGAGGAUUUUUUAAUAACAGGAACGACACGUCUUUGUAGCUUCCACUUUAAUCACGACGAUUUAUACCUCGCGUCGGAGAAUGGAAAAGUACUAAAAGUUAACGGGGCCGUUCCAGUUUUUAAGUUUGUGGCUCAAGUGGCAAGUAAGACACCGGAAAAUAUGUCGAUUGAUUACGGUCACUCCGAUCAAGCUACCCGUUCGUUCGAAAUUCCCUGUAUCACCAACAGCCGCAGUAACUCAGAGCCUCAUCCAGUUGUCAAGAAUGAGGAAAAACAUAGGAAUCUUCAAUCUACUUCUAUUAUGACCAAAAGACUACAAAACGAAAACAACAUUUUGAAAAAACAUGUUGAAUGUGUACUCAAACAUGAGAACAAGCGUUUAUAAGUAGAUACGCUCGAAAGUAUGUUUAACGAAGAUCAGAUUAAAAUAGCCACCGGAAAGAUUAUUCGACCUAAAAAGUGGUCUACCGAAACAAUAGUGACAGCCAUAAAAACUAAACUUGCUUGUGGAUCUCGCGGAUAUGAACAUCAGCGUGAAGCAUAUCCCCUUCCAUCACAGAGAACGAUUCGAUUCGCUAUCUAUAUUUUAUCAGUUGUAAUCGAGAAAGUCUCUCUGCGAGAGCUUUGUGCGCUUGCUCUUCACAAUACAAGCUUUCUGAUGUUGCGUGUUUGGUUUUCUUUACACAGUGUGCAUUUGCUUCCAGCUUCUGUGUGUUCCAUGCUUUUGUGUUCUGUGCAAAUUAUAUGAGCCUCUUUGUUACACACGAUGAGUAUGCCAAGACUGCAGGUGACAGCAUCGAAUCAGGCUUACUAAAAUCUGUUAGCACGGAUAUAGUACGCAAAAUAGAAUCAAUUGGUCUUAAUGCCAUUGUAACAGAUUGUGACGGUGGUAAUAAAAGGCUGUGGAAUGAUAUGCAGCUCCUUCAUCAGAAGUGGAACGUUUUGAAAAAUGUAGCCCUCGCUCAUCCAUGUAAUGUCAGAAGAAACUUAGAGGUUAUUCCAGAUGCCGUACAUGUUUUCAAAAGUGCAGUUCAAGGGUGGAUCACCAAUAAAUAUAUAUUGAUUCCCGAAGAUGUUGUGAGGCGGGAAAAUGUAACGUUUGCAUUUGCGGAUAUCAACCACAUUCGUGAGCUGGUUUUUUAUGAGGAUGGACGUGAAUUACGGCUGGCCUCCGGAUUAACUAAAAAUGAUGUCGACUUUAGCAAAAUGAAUGUUUUUAAUUCAUUCAAAUAUGUAAAUCUACAAGUUGUUGCCGCACUCCGGCUAUUC